This 720-nucleotide ribosomal RNA is filed under the name Triticum aestivum (bread wheat). RNAcentral describes it as "partial small subunit ribosomal RNA". Lineage: Eukaryota; Viridiplantae; Streptophyta; Magnoliopsida; Poales; Poaceae. The record is from RNAcentral.
AUGACUAUUGCGGGUAGGCAGGUUCUAGUUCGAGCAGUCUUAAGUGCAAUCCCUACUUUCGCUAUGACCGUGCUCCGUAUGCCGAAAAAAUUCUUCAAGGAGAUUGACAAAGUGAGGCGGCGUUUUCUCUGGGCACAAGAGGAGGAGUUGUCCGGGGGCAAGUGUAAGGUGAGUUGGUCCAAGGUGUGCUCUCCGCUGGACAAGGGUGGGCUCGUGGUCCUCGAUCUCGAGCGCUUCGGCAGAGCUCUCCGCCAAAGGUGGCUGUGGUUGACAUGGAAACACCCGGAGAGGCCAUGGGCGAGCAUGGAAGUGUCGUGCUCGGACGCGGACAAGGCGUUCUUCAGCGCGGCAACAUCAGUCAGAAUUGGCAAUGGCCGGACAGCUAGUUUCUGGUCCUGCUCCUGGCUGCCAAUGGGCACGCUCAAGGUGUUGUUUCCAACUCUUUACCAGCACUCAUGGAGGAAAAAUAGGACUAUGGCCGACGCCCUGCAUGAGGAUCGCUGGAUCCUGGACCUGGCGCAUGGACAGACUGAGCUGGUGGUGCAAGACUGUGUACGGUUGGCAAGGCUGCUGCGAACUGCUUCGAUCACCCUCAAUCCAGAAGCCGCCGACGAAAUCAGAUGGAACUUGGAGGCCAGCGGCUGCUACACGGCCUCGUCCGUAUAUCGAGCUCAGUUUCAAACAAACCACGGCUCCGUUUUCCCACAGCUCAUACAGUAG